RNAcentral lists this ribosomal RNA (318 nucleotides) under Triticum aestivum (bread wheat). RNAcentral describes it as "partial small subunit ribosomal RNA". Lineage: Eukaryota; Viridiplantae; Streptophyta; Magnoliopsida; Poales; Poaceae. The record is from RNAcentral.
AUGGAGGGGAACAAAAUCCCUAGAAUGCCUCUAUUCCCCUGGGGGCCUGUCGCAUCUCUCCAUCUCGUCUCUUCCCCGCCUCCUUCUCCACCUCCGGCCGCCGCCGCGGCCAAGCCGUCAUGGCGGCGCGCCACCCAGCCACCCAGCCAACCUCCUUCCUCAAACACCAACAUCGCCUCCAGCUACCACGCCAUCAGCACCUGCCGCUGCACCAUCAACCGCACCACCGCAUCACCGGUUUACAUGAAGACGGGGAAUGCCGGCAGCUGGAAUUCUGGGCUGGAAAAGGAGCAAAUAUUAGAGACCUAUUUUGCAUAG